This 481-nucleotide ribosomal RNA is filed under the name uncultured bacterium. RNAcentral describes it as "partial 16S ribosomal RNA". It matches the Rfam family "Bacterial small subunit ribosomal RNA", at positions 28 to 507 of the family's 1533-position model. The record is from RNAcentral.
GACGAACGCUGGCGGCGUGCUUAACACAUGCAAGUCGAACGGGAUCCGGGCUUUCGGGUUUGGUGAGAGUGGCGAACGGGUGAGUAACACGUGAGUAACCUGCCCCCUUCUUUGGGAUAACGUCGGGAAAUCGGCGCUAAUACUGGAUAUUCUCGCUGCAUCGCAUGGUGUGGUUUGGAAAGGGUUUCUGGUGGGGGAUGGGCUCGCGGCCUAUCAGCUUGUUGGUGGGGUGAUGGCCUACCAAGGCUUUGACGGGUAGCCGGCCUGAGAGGGUGUCCGGCCACACUGGGACUGAGACACGGCCCAGACUCCUACGGGAGGCAGCAGUGGGGAAUAUUGCACAAUGGGCGCAAGCCUGAUGCAGCGACGCCGCGUGAGGGAUGACGGCCUUCGGGUUGUAAACCUCUUUCAGUAUGGAACAAGGAUCCUUCUUUUGGGGGGUUUGAGGGUACGUGCAGAAGAAGCGCCGGCUAACUACGUG